RNAcentral lists this ribosomal RNA (434 nucleotides) under uncultured archaeon. RNAcentral describes it as "bacterial SSU rRNA". It matches the Rfam family "Archaeal small subunit ribosomal RNA", at positions 19 to 458 of the family's 1478-position model. The record is from RNAcentral.
GGACCUGACUGCUAUCGGAUUGAUACUAAGCCAUGCGAGUCAUUGUAGCAAUACAAGGCAGACGGCUCAGUAACGCGUAGUCAACCUACCCUAUGGACGGGAAUAACCUCGGGAAACUGAGUAUAAUGCCCGAUAGAACAUUAUACCUGGAAUGGUUUAUGUUCCAAAUGAUUUAUCGCCGUAGGAUGGGACUGCGGCCUAUCAGUUUGUUGGUGAGGUAAUGGCCCACCAAGACUAUUACAGGUACGGGCUCUGAGAGGAGUGGCCCGGAGAUGGGUACUGAGACACGGACCCAGGCCCUAUGGGGCGCAGCAGGCGAGAAAACUUUGCAAUGUGCGAAAGCACGACAAGGUUAAUCCGAGUGGUUUCUGCUAAAGGAACCUUUUGUCAGUCCUAGAAACACUGAUGAAUAAGGGGUGGGCAAGUUCUGGUGU